CGCCCCGCGCGUGCGCACUGGUUGGUCAUCGGCCGGGCAGGUUUCGGCGAGCAGGGCUGCGCGGAGGGGCUUGUGGGAAAUGUGAGGCGAGAGCCUUUGGCAGCGGGAGGAGCAGGGGCUUAGUCCCACCGCCAUCUUUGUCUCGAGAUUUGCUGGAGCCGGACGACUCCUGCUGCUGGUGUAUUUAAAAGGCACGGACUUUUCAAAGGAGACUUUGCUGUGGUGACACAGAAAAAGAGCCCUCGAAAGCUUUGCGCGGGUCUUGAAUAUUCUUUUUGAAGUCUUAGGGAGCAAAUUUCCAUAUUUUCAGCUCCCACUGUCCCUUUUUCCUGGCGUAUUUCUUUACCAUUUUCUUUACUGUAUCUUUUCCCUUUCCCCCGUAAGUACUUUUUUGGUUGUUCCUUUUUAGCUGCUUCUCAGAAGUGAACCUGCUGCUUCCUACUUAAUGAAAAGUUCCGUUGAGCUGUCCCAAGAUAAUUUAAAGGAAAUCAGAAAAGCAAAGAAAAAUGAUUCCAAUUAUAAAGUAGUAAAUUGAGAGGAGAGGCCGUGAGCAGUUAUUUCUCCCGUAAUUAUUAACUCAGGUGACCAGAGAACCUGUGUGUAAACCAACAUCGCACCUUAUGUGGCCGCGGCCGUGUUGUCUACACUGGGCCUUCACACCUCCAGGACUGUUUUAAUUUACAAGUUGAUUCUAAAAUUCAUAUAGAAAUGCAAAAGACCAAGAACAGUUAAGAUAAUUUUAAAGAAGAAAAAGGCUGGGGGACUUGCACCAGCAGAUAUUGUGACUUGUUACAUUGCUACAGUAAUGAAGGUCAAGGACUCAAGACUAGGCAAAGAGUCCAAGGAAACAGAAUAGAAAGAACAGAAAUGACCCAUGGUCUGAAAGUGCAGAGGACAGAGGACACAGACUAUGGGCUGGUUCCCUGUAUAAGCUUGUCUUCCUGGAACCACUUGACAUGGGCUCCACUUUCCUGAAUGGACACUGAAGAACAUAUGCUAUAGACACUGAAGAUAUUUUUCUAAUACUAAGGAAAUAUUAGACUCCUGACAACUAAGUGAAGGUAGUACUAGGGUUUAUGCAGAUUCUGUGUAAUGUUACUAAUUUUUUAAACCUUAAGCUUGAUUUUCCUUCUUUUCAGUAGCAUUUUUUUUGCAUUUGGUUGUUUUCUGGUACCUCUGACAUACUCUAGACAAGGUGCUGGACACUUAAAUUACCUUUGGUGGUUGUCAACCCAUGUCAGUAUGUCAAAUGGUGAUACACACACACACACACACAAAAUAUUUUAGAACAAAAUGACAAUUUAGAUGUGAAAAUCAUUUGAACAUAUGGCAUCCACUUAGUUGUUUCCAGAGAUAAAACUGUGAAGCUAGUGGCUUAAAUAUGAACUUAUAAUUACAAAAGGUUACCAGAGAACAGUAGAUCAGCAACAUAACUUACAUCUGUUAGGAAGUUCCAGUGAUGAUCAUGGGAAUUACAAGCUAAGUUAUUUUCACUAUGAUUCUUGGCAUUGUAGUAGAAUGAAAGAUAAACUAUAAGGUCAAAAAGUACAGAGUAAACAGAAUGCAUUAAGAAAUGGUAGUUAGUGCAGGGCUUCAUUUGUUAUGACACCAAAUAAACAAAUGUGGAAUGUUGGAAAAAUGGACUUUUUGAGGAGUAUAAAUACAUGAAUUAACAUAAGCAAAUCAAUGAGCAAAUUUUACUUUAGAUAUUCAUAAAACCCUUUGCAUAAAGUAAUAGGAUGUCAUCUUCACCCUAUUCAAAUAUGAAAAGAUUUUGAAAAUUAUAAUGUGCAGUACUGAAGAGGAAACUAGUCACCCUGAGCAGGUUAUUCAGCACGUUUCUGGAUGGUAAUUAAGCAAUGUGUUUGACUCACUGCUAGGAAUUUAUCCUGCAGAAAUAGUCAUAGAUGUAUGCUUUGAAUAAUAACAGUUCAUUACAGUCCCAUUUAUGACUGAAAGUACAAAACAAAACAAAACAACACUCCAGGAGUUGGUGCUGUGGCAUAGCAGGUAAAGCUGCUGCCUGCAAUGCCAGUUUCCCAUGUGGGCACUGGUUCUAGUCCUGGCUGCUCCACUUCCAAUCCAGCUCCCUGCAGAUGUGCCUGGGAAGCAGCAGAAGAUGGCCCAUGUGCUUGGGCCCUUGCCACCCACAUGUGAGACUUGAAUGAAUCUCCUGGUUCCUGGCUUAGGUCUCACCCAACCCUGGCAGUUGCAGUCUUUUGAGGAGUGAACCAGCAGAUGGAAGAUCUCUCUCUGUAAUUCUGGCUUUCAAUAAACACAUAAAUCUUAAAAAAAAAGUAAUGUGUAAG
Molecule: non-coding RNA, 2309 nt
Organism: Oryctolagus cuniculus (rabbit)
Lineage: Eukaryota; Metazoa; Chordata; Mammalia; Lagomorpha; Leporidae
Source: RefSeq, a predicted model, not a curated record